This is a non-coding RNA of Acanthosepion pharaonis, 107 nucleotides long. NCBI's taxonomy places the organism in Eukaryota, Metazoa, Mollusca, Cephalopoda, Sepiida, Sepiidae. The record is from the annotation of a GenBank genome assembly.
GCCACAUCACGUUGAAAUAUUAGUCCCCUUACGAUCAGCGAAGUUAAGCAACGUCGGGGCGGAUUAGUACUAAGGUGGGUGAACGUUUAGGAAUAUCAGGUGCCAUA